UUGACCAAAUCAUGCCUCGUGUGAUUACUGGAAAGAAGAUUUCAGGGGGUAACAAAUUGCAACACAAGAACAGUUCAUCACUCUUAAGGAAACCAGAGCAAAUAGAAUAACUUACCGUAGAGUUUUCUAAUAAAUGUGGCUACAAAACUGUGAAACCAUUAACUAUGAACAGAAUAAUUUUUAAACUUGUACGCUCAAUUGUUUAGUUUAUGUUUCUGGGACGGACAUAAAUACUGCAUCUUCUUCAAGCCAAAGCAGUGAACUGAUGCAUUUUGUUUUCUCAGUGCACAAGAGUCUUUCUUCCAAAUGUGCAACCAGAUACUUCUUUGAAGCCGCUUCUUGGGGAAACUGGUAAGAGUCUGGCUGUCUUCAAGCUAUCAACCCAGAUCUAUUGCAUUUUCGUUUUCUCAAGGAGCUACUUGCGGCAUCAGAUGAGAAAUUCUAAAAUACCUCAGAUGUACUACAACCAAUUGAUGCAUGCAUGACAAGUGUAAUUGAAUUUAAUACAACCACCACUUGCAUGAUAGUGGUUCAAAAUAAAUGCACACAUGUCAUGGUAUUAUUGCUUGUUGUAUGAAUGACAUGGUACCUCAGAUGUAUUCUAGAAUUUCUCACAUCAGAUACUAUCAAGGAUCAUAAUUGUUAUUUUGUAUCCCUAACCGAAUGUAAUUCUUACUUAUCUUUCUUCUAUUACAAAAGCUGAAGGUGUUCGCAAGAACUUGAAACAGAAUCAAUCGUUGAUAAUGAAGAUUU
Molecule: long non-coding RNA, 753 nt
Filed under: Citrus maxima (pomelo)
Lineage: Eukaryota; Viridiplantae; Streptophyta; Magnoliopsida; Sapindales; Rutaceae
Description: long non-coding RNA (CMAX_LNC000470)
Source: RNAcentral